AUGGCUGUCGUCAGCUCGUGUCGUGAGAUGUUGGGUUAAGUCCCGCAACGAGCGCAACCCUUGUCCUAUGUUGCCAGCGGAUAAUGCCGGGGACUCGUAGGAGACUGCCGGGGUCAACUCGGAGGAAGGUGGGGACGACGUCAAGUCAUCAUGCCCCUUAUAUCCAGGGCUGCAAACAUGCUACAAUGGCCGGUACAAAGGGCUGCGAAACCGCGAGGUUGAGCGAAUCCCAUAAAGCCGGUCUCAGUUCGGAUUGGAGUCUGCAACUCGACUCCAUGAAGGCGGAGUCGCUAGUAAUCCCGGAUCAGCAACGCCGGGGUGAAUACGUUCCCGGGCCUUGUACACACCGCCCGUCACACCACGAAAGUCGGCAACACCCGAAGUCAGUGGCCUAACUCUUAGGAGAAGGAGCUGCCGAAGGUGGGGUUGGCGAUUGGGGUGAAGUCGUAACAAGGUAGCCGUACCGGAAGGUGCGGCUGGAUCACCUCCUUUCUAAGGAGUACAUACCGUCCCCGAUGUCGACCGUAUGUGUCGACCGGAGACGGUCACUCCCAGUUAGUGCACUGGCUAGUUGGCCACGUUCCAGGAGCUCGACAAGAUCGGGUCUCCUGGGCGGCGGAGUUCCGUCCUCUAUCCCGCUUUGAGGGAGCGCCACGUGCGCCACCCUUGACGGUCGGUCCCGCCCGUCGACGCAUUUGUGCGUUGACCUGGCGUCAUCGGCCGUAGGCCUCGGCCACUGGUCGGCUGUUCGAACUCGAACACCCGGCCAUGCCGUCGUCGACCCCAGGGGUCGACAGACGCCUCUUGAGAACUGCACAGCGAACACGAGCAUCUUCAUCAAUAAAUUGUCGAUGUAUUUGUAAUUUCCAAGCUACUAAGAGCCAACGGUGAAUGCCUUGGCGACUACUACCGAAGAAGGACGUGGGUGGCUGCGAAAAGCCACGGUGAGCCGCCUACCUGGCUACGACCCGUGGAUGUCCGAAUGGGGAAACCCGG
RNAcentral lists this small RNA (996 nucleotides) under uncultured bacterium. RNAcentral describes it as "bacterial SSU rRNA". The stretch from base 1 to 492 matches the Rfam family "Bacterial small subunit ribosomal RNA", at positions 1045 to 1533 of the family's 1533-position model. The record is from RNAcentral.